This 468-nucleotide ribosomal RNA is filed under the name uncultured bacterium. RNAcentral's name for it is "partial 16S ribosomal RNA". It matches the Rfam family "Bacterial small subunit ribosomal RNA", at positions 28 to 507 of the family's 1533-position model. The record is from RNAcentral.
GACGAACGCUGGCGGCGUGCUUAACACAUGCAAGUCGAACGGAAAGGCCCUGCUUUUGUGGGGUGCUCGAGUGGCGAACGGGUGAGUAACACGUGAGUAACCUGCCCUUGACUUUGGGAUAACUUCAGGAAACUGGGGCUAAUACCGGAUAGGAGCUCCUGCUGCAUGGUGGGGGUUGGAAAGUUUCGGCGGUUGGGGAUGGACUCGCGGCUUAUCAGCUUGUUGGUGGGGUAGUGGCUUACCAAGGCUUUGACGGGUAGCCGGCCUGAGAGGGGGACCGGCGACAUUGGGACUGAGAGACGGCGCAGACUCCUACGGGAGGCAGCAGUGGGGAAUAUUGCACAAUGGGCGGAAGCCUGAUGCAGCAACGCCGCGUGCGGGAUGACGGCCUUCGGGUUGUAAACCGCUUUCGCCUGUGACGAAGCGGGAGUGACGGUAAUGGGUAAAGAAGCACCGGCUAACUACGUG